This is a long non-coding RNA of Megalobrama amblycephala (Wuchang bream), 2439 nucleotides long. RefSeq lists it as uncharacterized. The transcript has 2 exons. NCBI's taxonomy places the organism in Eukaryota, Metazoa, Chordata, Actinopteri, Cypriniformes, Xenocyprididae. The record is from RefSeq and is a predicted model, not a curated record.
GAGAAAUUACAACAGACGUCAAUGAUAACCAAAACUCGUGUUCAACAGAGGGAAAGUCACACAGAUUCGGAACGACACGAGGCCAGGGCUGCCCUUGAACUAGCAGAGAUAAACACUGCAAAGUCCCGAUAACAUAUGGCUGCUCUCCAGCUCUAUGAGCCGACAGACCUCUCCAGAUCCAGCAGUUAUCAGAUUCAAGGUGAGGUGUCUCACUGCUGGGUUGUAUUAUGUAGCAUAGUAUGUAAAACAUGAGUAUGAUUGAUAAUGUCCGUGAAAAAUUAUAUAAAUUUAACCUAAAUAGAUGACAAAAUUUGAUUAUAGUGCUAAAGAGUGUUGUUCUGCCUUUCAACUGUAACAAUUGAAAGCUUUUGUCUAAAGAAACAUGCUCUCAACUGAGUUGGAAUUAUCUACAAUAUCAGUCUGGAGUUACUGUCAAAAAGCAUUAAAGGAAAGUAAAACCCAAGAGGCAACAGCACUCUGCUGUUUCUAAGAGACGAGAGCCUGUUCCUCAGCAGCCAGUGUUUGCCUUUAAAUUAGUGUCUGUUUACCGACACAAGGGUGAAAAUGAUGUUUAUAACUCCCACUCCAAUAGUGGCAUACACAGGCUGACCAACACCAGCAGUCUGGAAGAUCGAAGUAGAGUAAUAAAAGAUCUAGAAAAAACACAAAGACAAGAACAAAUAUUACUGUUAGUAAUGUGGUCCAUAAAACUUAAAUCGAAAUGGUUUUUUCAAUAAAAUGGGAGUAGGUAGGUUGAGCGUACAGCGUUGAUCCCAGAGAACUGCUGGGAAAAGUGCAUCAUGAGGGCCACAAAGAGCUGCUGGCGGUACACCGAGGAACGGAGUAGCCGCCAGAUGGACAUUUUCGCCUCUUUCAUGGCCUCCUCCUUCUCUGCCUGCAUCUCUGCUAUGUCUUUUGAGGUGUCGUAAUCUCCCUUCAGCCUUUUCAGAUCUACAAAAGGAAGAAGGAUGGCAAAAACCGAGCAACAUUAUUUUGUCUGAUCUUCGGGGAAGUUCAGAAUGAAGGCCUGUUGACACCAUAAGCAAUAAUUAUAACAAUAACUAAGCUAUUUUUUACGUUUUAAAAAUCACUCAACUCUACUAGAAUAGUGGAGUCCACAUCACAACUAACGACAUCGACACAGGAACAAUAUUGUCCUAUUUUCAUAAUUUUAUUGAAGAACAUUUUUUUAUAGGGGGUGAACCAUUGACGGUUUGUUGGUGUAGAUGCUAAUAUCAUUAUCAUCAUAGUGUUCAGUUUUGGUGUGAAAGGGCCUUUAGAGAGAAGAGCAUUAAUUCAUUUAACAUUCAAAUUAUUAUGAAAGUGUUUUAGUGGCACGUUGAAAAAACAAAUCAUACUAAUAAUCUUAUCACAAUAGGAAAAAGCAGCUUCAUCAAUGUGAAAGAUUUAGAAUGACUAGAAUGCUUUAAUAUUUUCUAACAAAGAAAUACUUUUGGCAAAACAGCACAGAGUUUUCAUUAGUAUCCGGCAGUGGUUAUGAACUGUAGGAAAUUGAAUUUAUUAAGGAGAAACAACCAGACAGACAUUCAGGAAAUUGCCUGUUUUGUGCAAUCUGUAAUAGCAGCCAGUAGUCAGCUCCACUUCACUGUGAUGAUACUUUCCUUAUUCUCAUAAUAUUGUGACUUCGAUCUCACAAAACUUUAUCCUUGUAAUUUUGACUUUAUUCUCAAAACAUUACCACUUUAAUGUCAUAAUGUUGUGACUUUAUUCUCUAAACUUUGACUAAGGUUUAAGCCUAUUAUGAGAUUAUUCUUGACUUUAUUCUUAAAAUAUUUCUUUUAUCGUUGCACAAAAAUGAUCUCUCUAUAAAUACAAAUUGCAUAUUUAAGCAUACAGUGUCCAUGAGGAAAGAGUGAGAAGGCUUUGGCACAUACUCUUGCAUGCUUCUUCCACUUUGCCCUGUUUGAUGUAGAGGUAUCGAGGACUCUCUGGACACAGAAGCAGCAGCAGACUCUGCAGGAUGGCAGGAGCUCCAGAAAGACCCAGCAGUACGUGCCACAUGUCAUCAUUUCCCAGCAGGAACUCCAGACCAAUGACCUGUAGAUAACAAGGACACCUGCACACAUCUUACAGCUUCUAAUAAAAGCCUGAAAAAGAAUUACUAACAAAAUAACUUCAAAAAAAGGUUGAUUUUUUUGAAAGUGAUGAAGACUAAGAGCAGAUCAUGUGACCUUAGACUUCAUAAGCAUUUUACUUAAAAUACAAAUUCAUAUUACUUUUUCUGUUGAAAAGCUAUUAUAAACCAUCACUGUUUUUUCUAUUUUAUUUUUUAUCAAUUGUUUUACGUGACUGUUAAACAGAUUUUCCAUGAAAGGUCAUGUAUGGCCAUGCUCUUUUAUUUAAAUAUUGAAUAUUGAGUUCCCGCUAUGAAGCUUUGAAUCUUUAUGCAUUUGUGGAUUAAAACUAUUAUAAAAGUGG